This 460-nucleotide ribosomal RNA is filed under the name uncultured bacterium. Its description in RNAcentral is "partial 16S ribosomal RNA". It matches the Rfam family "Bacterial small subunit ribosomal RNA", at positions 338 to 795 of the family's 1533-position model. The record is from RNAcentral.
CCUACGGGUGGCAGCAGUGAGGAAUAUUGGUCAAUGGACGAGAGUCUGAACCAGCCAAGUAGCGUGAAGGAUGACUGCCCUAUGGGUUGUAAACUUCUUUUAUAUGAGAAUAAAACGUUCCACGUGUGGGAUUUUGUAUGUACCAUAUGAAUAAGGAUCGGCUAACUCCGUGCCAGCAGCCGCGGUAAUACGGAGGCUCCGAGCGUUAUCCGGAUUUAUUGGGGUUAAAGGGAGCGUAGGUGGAUUGUUAAGUCAGUUGUGAAAGUUUGCGGCUCAACCGUAAAAUUGCAGUUGAAACUGGCAGUCUUGAGUACAGUAGAGGUGGGCGGAAUUCGUGGUGUAGCGGUGAAAUGCUUAGAUAUCACGAAGAACUCCGAUUGCGAAGGCAGUUCACUGGACUGCAACUGACACUGAGGCUCGAAAGUGUGGGUAUCAAACAGGAUUAGAUACCCGUGUAGUC